Molecule: small nuclear RNA, 212 nt
Filed under: Ophiophagus hannah (king cobra)
Lineage: Eukaryota; Metazoa; Chordata; Lepidosauria; Squamata; Elapidae
Description: 7SK RNA
Rfam family: 7SK RNA
About the family: 7SK was discovered as an abundant small nuclear RNA in the mid-70s but a possible function has only recently been suggested. Two independent studies have found that 7SK RNA binds the CDK9/cyclin T complex (known as elongation factor P-TEFb).
Source: Rfam by way of RNAcentral
AGAUGUGAGGACAAUCUGGCUGCAACAUCUGUCACAUCAUUGAUCAUCAGAGUUGAUCUGGCUGCCUAGGCAGGUGUCUCCUCCCUCCCUCCCUCCCCACUCCAUAUGUGAGUUCAACAAUACAUUGAGAUUUUCUGUAACUGUGUUUUCAGUGGAAGAGAACAACCAUCCCAGAUAAAGAGUUUGCUACUUUUCAAUCAAGAAUAUAUCUA